ACAAGCUCCGCCUCCCAGGUUCCCGCCAUUCUCCUGCCUCAGCUUCCCGAGUAGCUGGGACUACAGGCGCCCGCCACCUCGCCCGGCUAGUUUUUUGUAUUUUUUAGUAAAGACGGGGUUUCACCGUGUUAGCCAGGAUGGUCUUGAUCUUCUGACCUCGUGGUCCGCCCGUCUCGGCCUCCCAAAGUGCUGGGAUUACGGGCUUGAGCCACCGCGCCCGGCCAAAGAAGUAUUUCUUAAAGAAGCAAAUGCUCGAUCUCCAAGUGCUGCCCAGUUCAUGAGUGCUGCUGCUGUCCUGCCCAAGUACCCAGCUUGCAGGAGUGCCGGAAUUAGAGUCCCAGGGGUGUUCUCCACGGCCACAUACUUGAUCCAGGUCUAUCAGUGAACCAGCAUCUUGCCCUUCAGACCCUACAGCACACUCUUGGGCUCAUGAAGUGUAUGACACAUCCUCCUUGGAAGAUCGGCCAUGUCCUCGCUGUCAUGACCACAUGAAUUCUUCU
RNAcentral lists this long non-coding RNA (500 nucleotides) under Macaca nemestrina (pig-tailed macaque). Its description in RNAcentral is "lncRNA (ENSMNEG00000046052.1)". The record is from RNAcentral. Lineage: Eukaryota; Metazoa; Chordata; Mammalia; Primates; Cercopithecidae.